RNAcentral lists this small RNA (52 nucleotides) under Arabidopsis thaliana (thale cress). RNAcentral describes it as "ATSL237630". The record is from RNAcentral. Lineage: Eukaryota; Viridiplantae; Streptophyta; Magnoliopsida; Brassicales; Brassicaceae.
ACCAUCAACAAGUUUCGCAACUGAUGCUUUUGCGGUUACAUCAUCCUCUCUC